RNAcentral lists this ribosomal RNA (498 nucleotides) under uncultured bacterium. RNAcentral describes it as "bacterial SSU rRNA". It matches the Rfam family "Bacterial small subunit ribosomal RNA", at positions 21 to 507 of the family's 1533-position model. The record is from RNAcentral.
GGCUCAGGAUGAACGCUAGCUACAGGCUUAACACAUGCAAGUCGAGGGGAAACGAUAUUGGAAGCUUGCUUCCGAUAGGCGUUCGACCGGCGCACGGGUGAGUAACGCGUAUCCAACCUGCCCACCACUUGGGAUAACCUUGCGAAAGUAAGCUAAUACCCGAUGAUAUCUCUAGAAGACAUCUGAAAGAGAUUAAAGAUUCAUCGGUGAUGGAUGGGGAUGCGUCUGAUUAGGCAGUAGGCGGGGCAACGGCCCACCUAACCGACGAUCAGUAGGGGUUCUGAGAGGAAGGUCCCCCACAUUGGAACUGAGACACGGUCCAAACUCCUACGGGAGGCAGCAGUGAGGAAUAUUGGUCAAUGGGCGGAAGCCUGAACCAGCCAAGUAGCGUGCAGGACGACGGCCCUAUGGGUUGUAAACUGCUUUUAUGCGGGGAUAAAGUGGGCCACGCGUGGCCUUUUGCAGGUACCGCAUGAAUAAGGACCGGCUAAUUCCGUG